AGAUUCUCGAGUCAGAGGGUGGUUCAUGUUGGACUCUUACCUUCCUACCUUUUUUCUUACUGUCAUGUAUCUGCUCUCAAUAUGGCUGGGUAACAAGUAUAUGAAGAACAGACCUGCUCUUUCUCUCAGGGGUAUCCUCACCUUGUAUAAUCUUGGAAUCACACUUCUCUCCGCGUACAUGCUGGCAGAGCUCAUUCUCUCCACUUGGGAAGGAGGCUACAACUUACAGUGUCAAGAUCUUACCAGCGCAGGGGAAGCUGACAUCCGGAGGACCAACUGAAUAAACCACAGCACAUCCACGUAGCAGAUGCCUCUACCAAGUGGAGUGAGGAAGAGCUCUAUACCGCUACAGAAUUGUCUCUGGGAUAUAGUUACAUGAACAAAAGCAACUUGC
Molecule: long non-coding RNA, 394 nt
Filed under: Homo sapiens (human)
Lineage: Eukaryota; Metazoa; Chordata; Mammalia; Primates; Hominidae
Description: HSALNT0101290
Source: RNAcentral